Esox lucius (northern pike) is the source of this 7690-nucleotide long non-coding RNA. The record is from Ensembl. Lineage: Eukaryota; Metazoa; Chordata; Actinopteri; Esociformes; Esocidae.
CAAAAACCUGGCAUUUUCACAGGGGUGUGUAGACUUUUUAUAUCCACUGUAUGUCCCUGUGCAGUCGACACGCAGGGUCACUUUGCCUGCAAGAUGCUAGGGUACAUUUUAACCCAGAUACAUGAGCAACAUCUGAAGACCGGUUUGCAGAUUGGCAACUUGUGCAUUUCGGGUAUAAAUACUAUGUUCUUCUCUGAAAAGGAGGCAAUGAUGUAGGGUGGCAAUGAUGUAGCGCACAAGAUGCUCAUGAUGGGGAAGAGUAAGGGUAAGAACCCUGCUAUGAGGAACUACAAACUGAGCACCUACAGAUACGCAACGAACCACAAUGCUCCACACAUCAGGAGAGGCCGCUCGGGUCCUUACAAUAAAGUAGGUUCCGUGACAAUGCCACUCGAGGUGGUGUACAAUAUAAUGGCCUUAUACGCACCGAAUUCCCCCUCGGGCUUGGUUGUAACCAUGGUCGAGGCUUAUGAGAAAAGAUAUCGACCAUGAGCAGCCGCGUACGCCGUGAUUAAUGUUCACAUUGGACUUCAACAAGGACCACUUGUGCUCCGUGGAAGCGACAGCGGUCAUUGAACCACGGAACGAACUCACGUUCCAGAAAUGCGUGCUGGGAGGUGAGACGUUUCCAGGGCAUCGCGCACCUGUAUUAUGGGGGAGUUAUCAGAAGAGUGAUGUCUCAGAAUGCACCUAAGGAAGUAUACAACAAAAAGCGCCUGAGAGAAUCUAGACUAGGACCGAGGGGCACCUUCCACGGGCCCAGACUGAGCAUGUACUCAAUAGAGGAAUCGGGUGUACCCGUGAAAAACGAGUUUGAUUUGCACCACCCGGACCGUGUAUCACCAGGAACUGUGAUAAUAGCAGGCACCUGGUUGAGCUAGAGGAGUGUGUGUGCCGUGUGAAGAUAACAGUAAAAGAAUACAUGCAAAAAAAAUACACUAGGCUGUGUAUAGUUUUAUUUUGGCAUUGUAGGACUGGGUCUGAGUUAGGACAGCUCGACUUCGGGAAUACCUCACAAGUGUGACAAGUGUUUCACUUCAAUGUCUUUUAUUCGAUAUCCAGGUUGACAACAGUGUCAGUGCACAGUGUUCCCAGUCAAAGUCCUAUUCGCAAUAGGGGAGAACCUUUCAAACGAAUAAUAUUUCAUUUAACACCACAGCUGUGGAUAAACCAUGCAUUCACUGUGUAAGGCCCGUCAGCAGCACUGGAUUCAGAGAUGAGGGAGUCAGACUCAGGAGCAGCUUCAGCGUGACCCGCUAGUCAUGAAGGGCCUGAGGGGUCAUGGGAAUGUCCCGGUUGCCAUGUUCUUUGAGAAGAGGAGUUUCACCCAUUUCAUCCGCAUGCCUUUGGAUCAGUACGAGGCCUAUGGGGAUGAGUUUGUCAACCGGUACGCGGAACCACUUGCCAGGAUAGAGGUGCUGUGUUGCCAGCACCUCCUCGAUGCUCGAUGACUUCAAGCCACCAGGCGCCUUCUACAUGGAUGAGCCUGACCAAAAUAACCUUUCAAGGAUGUCUACGCGGUAAACCUGGGCGCCCAAGAAUGACGCAGAGUUGUUUACUGAUAACGAUCCUCCAAUGUGGCAUACCAAUGCUCUACAGCCCGGGACCAAGCACCCCCUUGGUCCGAUGCAGAGACCUGUUCACUGUUUCCUUGGAUGGGAAUGCUCAGCUGUUAGAUGUCUGCUCCCACCGAAUGGGUGAGUGCGAUAGACAUGAAACCUGGGUGGCCAAAAACCAGGAUAAUGUGUAGUUUUGAAAAUACACGGGUUCAUUUGAUACCAUGUAACUUUUGUGCAAUAAAGUCAAGUGACUCUGUGCACCCUGAGAGUUUGUGAUUAUUCUUACUCAGAAUGAUAACCGUUACAAAUGUAGUUUUGACACUUGGUUUAUUUCACAUACAUAUUACAUAACAAAUCACCAAAUAUAACUGUGACAUUGGCGCCUCGUGUUUAGUAUCAGUGGUAACCACUUAAACCCUGUGGAUCCAUCCAGCCUCUCUCGACACUACACAGAGAGUCCUGAGAUAGCGGUACUAUAAUCCAAACUUGGGAGCAUUCGCAUGCUCUGAAGUAGCGGCAGUUAAAAGUUAAUUUUGUGUACUGCAGCAGUGCUUGUGACACUUGGCAUAGAGCUCACCUUUAGUCCACAUUACACUCGUAUUCAUUAGAGAUAGAAGUCGCAGACCAUUUCCCGGUAACAGCCUGUGACACUCUGCAUUUUUGUUGACACGGAGGAGUAUCUGCCCUUCUGCAACUAACCGAGUUCCUAGAACCCCUGCGGAACCUCAUAAUGAUAUACAAAGUGGGGCUUGUGAUUCAGUGCAUGUUCCCUAUUGCUAUGCAGACAUUGAGCACCAUGUACUUGACUUCCCCACACUCGACAUUUGAGCAGUGAAAUAUGGUGCUGGAGAUCCAGGGUAUCCAGCAGCACAUGAAAAACGUAGCAGUUGUGUAAGGGCAGAACUUGAGCCCUUGUCAUGUUUCCCCCAAACGAAUUCCAGUUCACGUGCUUUCUGACACUGUAAUUCCAUUGUCAUUCCGUUGCAGUAAACAAGAAUGGCAAUGGGUAAGAUCAAAAAAUAUUCAUCCUAACCCAUAAAGUGGCAAUCUGGAAGUGAAGAUGCAUACCGUUGAAGCACAUCACAUUAUUCCCAGAUAUGGGACUCACGGUGUAAUAGCACAUGUCCAGUAGAGCGAGAGCGCCAGGACACGUGCACAAUCGGACACGAUUUUCCAGACACUUGAGUGUUGUCCUGUGAUGUACCACCUUUAUGUAUAUUUCGAUGUUGAUAUAGACCAUGAGAAGUAUUCCAUACUGGAAGCAGAACUGUAAAAACAUAGGGGAACAACGAGAUCACUUUAAGUGAGCUGGUGGGACAUGUUAUCUGUAUACAAGGUCAAGGAUCCAGAGUGAUGCUACGUACCGUUGUCACUCACUUCAUCAGUUUGCACACCAUGUAGCCAAACACCCAACCCUUGAUGAGAAUCCCACGCCGGGAUAUUCACCAAAGUGGCUUUGUCACAGAGUCCCAGAUGCGAAAAGAAAAUGUCAAGAUCACUGAGGACCUUUCUUUUCCUGCCAGAGUCCUUUGAUCAGGCACAGUGCAGCGAGAUGACCAGGUACAGGUUGACAACCAAGCCCGUGAGCAUAACCAGCGUGUGAAAGAAAGGAAUGUAAAAAAAGCAGUUGUAUUCAUAUAGGUAAUAACAAUGAGAGUCUGACCCUGUGUAAUUUAAGGUUCUUUUGAAUGUAACAUUAUGGGAAAAUGAUGCCAUGUUAGCGAUCUAUAUAGCACAAGUGAGACACGACUGCCCAGGUACUAUGAUCAGAUGACACUCGCGUGGACCAUUUUAAGUUAAGAUGAUGGUGAAUGAAUCGGACCAACCUGGGACCCGUAGCCCGAGCAUGUACGUCUACGCCAACUGAUGUUAGGGCUAUGUUCGCACGUGGAACAUCAACCACGUCUGUAUUGUCCGACCCCCGUCUGUUGUAACCAACGAACGUUUAGCGUACGAUAGUUCAGGACAUAGAACCUUGUGUGUCUUAUCCAACCGAUGUUAGCUCUGAGUGCUUGGACCCAUGACUACGGCUGUGACUCCAACCUACUCUGUCGUAGCCAACCAACGGUAUGUCUAUGACCACGCAACAGCCUCCACCGCAUCUGUUUUAUCCAACCAUUGUUAGGUCUACGAGAGCUCGGAACAAAGAACCGCAUCCAACGUUAGGUCUAUGACAGUUCCAAAACCUCCAGCUGCAUCUGUUUAUCAAACCUAAGAGUGUUUAUUCAACCAUGACUCAUGUUAGCAAGUAAGUGAUCUAAAGGCUUCAAAUAGCUCUUUAUGGGAUAAACGGACCCGCUGAAAGCGCUUCAACAAGUUCAGUAGCAUAAGGCGAAUGUCAAUCUGGCCUGAAGCGCAGAACCCAGUCAGCUCUGACAGCUCUAGACCCUAGAGAAAGGACACAGCCGCUGUGGAAAUUCGACGAAGCGAUUGACAAGUAAACUGAAGAGGACACCCUUAUGUUUAUGUAUCCCGUUAGUCAUUCUUUCAGCCACGAAGGAGUCGUCCAACACUUCAAAGGAGAGUACAUUGUAAUGAUCGGGGAGAUUCAUCCCUCUGGGCAUACCAAUCCUGGGGAAUUGCUGGAGCAGAUAUGUCAAGAUUUAGAAAAGAUCACACAUGUGGACAUGUGGCGCUGGACUCGUCCUUAUGGGUGUCAUGAGAGUCUGAUUAUAUACAGAAAACAUUAGGAAAUGCAUGAUGGGAACCAUUCAGCUGACCGUAAGAUUCGGAACUUUACAUAGAUGUUACAUAGAUAAAUGCUUGCCAAUGGAGUGGGGUAUAGAGCCUACCAUACUGUAUCUAUCCAACCAUUAAUCAUUCAUUAAAGCAACUCAAUGUUAUACCAUGGGGAACCCAAGAGGAGUUUACGGCAACUUCUCUGUGGAUUAUGUAGUAAUUAGAGGGGGUAAACAGGAGCUCGACACACAUGGUCUGUUGAUGAAUGGAAAAGUGGUGGAUAAAGACUUUAAGUAUGAUAUGAUAUUAGACCUGGACUCCUCUUGUAGGGAAGAGUACGCAACUCCUCUGGAAAGAGGGCAACUUGUCGAUGCGUACACACAGUACACAACCAAUAGACUGAACCCCAUUAAGAGGCCUUUCCAGCGCGAGCACACUCGCAUACUGUUCGUAUCUUCCAGUUACAUACCCAGACCGUUGAUCAGUAUCACGGGAGCUAGGACAGAGAUUAUAUCCUGCUUUCUCAACCGUGACCUUGGUGAACGGGGAAUCAGUGUAAACCGGAAUGGAGUGUGGGCAACCAGCUCCCUUGAGAUCAACAGAUCACUCACGCUGCUCUGGACAGUUACAAACCGGUGAAGUUGAGCGAAGCAAAGUGGUUGGGUGUCUUCUCAGGCAAGCACCAAGAGGACACUCCUUUUGUGCGCAUUAGAAAGGCAACUCUGUUUAAGACUUGUGUACAAACAAACAAUCGCACAAUGGUGUGAUUAGAAUCUCUAUGUUGUACAUACAACCCAAAAAUAGUCACAUGUGGAUUCUAAUUAAAGUGUGGAAUCACAAUAUAAGCAGAACGCAAAGCCCAGCGCAGUUGUUGUUUCAUGAUCCGCAACGGGAACAUGUUUGGGGGAUACGGUGAUAAACCAUACUGUUAUUUCAUGUAUCAGAGACACGACCAGGCUGACAGCUCAUGCUCAAAUGUCCAACUCUCCACAGCCGCGACAACUAACAGAAAACUAAUGAUGGUGAUGCCAGAUCUCAAGGAGUUGAAUUCUUUUAUGACAUCUGUGAACCUACCUGACGUGAGCAAAGGUUUUCAUGACAUAAAGAGGAAGCUGGAGGAGAUUAACAGAUCAUGGAACUCCUCCGGGUCUACUAUCCAAACACACAGUAUCCUGACACUUCUCAUUACGAUGGCAUCGCUGAUGGUUGCUAUAUAGAUUCACAUGAACCACAUAUAUGUGAGGCUAUUGUGUGUCAUGCAAGCAAUAAUGUAAACUACAAUCUUGUAUAUUAGACUUGCAUACGAAGCAUUAUGUGAUAACGUUUCCUUUCCCAGUACAGAUUUUGAUGAUAAUGUACACCUGUCUUUAGGUUAUAGUACACAUUUUGAUGAUAAUGUACACCUGUCUUUAGGUUAUAGUACACAUUUUGAUGAUAAUGUACACCUGUCUUUAGGUUAUAGUACACGUUUUAUUAAGCAUUUACAAUGAUACAUCAUGAAAUGUACAAAUGUAUUGAAUAAAAUAUACACAGCAAUCUCAACGCGAUACCUGUCACUGAAUCAGGUCUCUGACCAUAUUUUUGUCAUCCUGGGUCAUGUGAUCCAGCAGGAUCCAUUCUGUGUCCUGGAGCAGCUUGUGAGCCAGAAGUCUGGGUAUUAUGGUGUCAGGGUCUCAGGAUGCUAUGUGUACUCUGCACAUUCAUGACCAAAUAAUUGUACGGUUCUGUAACCACAGUUGGGCUCAUCCGUUUAGAGGAUUGUCUCGAGAGGCCCAUAUCGGCCACUUUAACAGUGAGAUCUUCUGUCAGCAGCACGUUUGAAGGCGUCAGGUCCCUGUGUACAAUAUUCAGUCUGUACAUGUAGGAAAAGGCAUUAGCCACCUGUACGGAAAAAUGACCAAGAAAAGUCAACGGGAGCAACUGUAGCGCGCGGCCUUGGUCGUAGUGGAAUUUCAGAGUGUGUCCGUUAUGAAUCACUUCACUCAACAUAUAAGGCACGUAGGGCAUGUUGAUCACAUUAGAGUGACCAUUAAGGGCUGUAUGACAGGAGAGUUCUCUCACAGUAGAGCAUUUUGAUUACAUUGGGGUGACCCUUGAGGGCUGGAAGACAGGAGAAUUCUCUCACAGUAGAGUGGUGUCCCCAUGGUUGGAUGUGCAUUCUGUAACUGGCUGGUAUCACUGGGCCUGGACAUCUCACCCCAGGUGGUUGGUAGUGCCUGGACUGUAUUUGUUACGCAUGGUUGGACAUGUGCUCCUUGGUUGGAUGGUAAUCCAACAGCUGGAUGAAACUGAAACAGAGCGUCAUUUUAAGCAGCAUAGCCUUUCAUCUCUAGUACUGUCCCUGACACAGAGACCUGUAUGUUUUGUGUACCGUACUCCUGAUUCUACAUAAUUGUGUUCCAGUCGUUAGAUCAGGCUUUCACUUCGCUGGACAAAACUUAACCCCAGAGCCCUCCCCAGAAUGUAUUUCUCCCCCUGCUGCCCAGUGGUUGCUGCCUCGGCCCGCGGCGUCCUCUCCUGUUCCGGUGGCCCCGCCUCCCCAGCCUGUUCCUACAGCCCCGCCUCCUCUGCCUGUUUCCGGCUUGCGUUGGUGGGGGUACGGCUUUCUCCCGCCCACCUUCCCCAGAUGUUGUGACAGUGAGGUGACGGACAGCUUCGUCAUAUCUCGCUUAUCCCGGUUUCCCAGUUUCUUGAGAAAGUCGUAGGUACGACAGUCCUCUUUUAGGUUGCACUCCACAGCGCUCUAAACCGUUAAACCCGAAAUCGCCACUUUCCUGGAGAGAUCUGGUUAAAAAACAUUGUCAGGUUUUAUUUGUGGGGACUUCUGAAACCUGGAUGUAAAGUGAAACCAGGUUCACACACACACACACACACUGUCAGGAAUCCACCUGGGACCCCUCCACUUAGGGUGACAUCACAGCUUAGUCGAUCGUCGUCGCUGGUCUUCUAGCUGCCACCGUCCCAGUUCCUGACUGCACACGAACACAGCCCUGGACAAUCAUUACACACACCUGAUUCCACUUCCAUCAUGUCUAUUUAACUUCCCAGUUCCUUAGCCUCCCUGUCCAGUAUUGUUUUGUGUCAGUGUGUUUCAGUGUUCUGUAGCCUUUUGGUUUGCUGCUUUGUACUUAGUAGCUCUAGAUUGCUGAGCAUCAUUUGGUGCAUGUUUGGCACCAUAUAUGUGCUCUGUGCCUUUAUUAAAACGUUUGGCACUUUCCUCCUCCGCACCUGGUUCUUGCAAAACCCCACCGUGAUACACACACAAACAUUUAACAGUUCAUUAAAAUGUAUAUUCUUUGAUUUUAUAUUUCUGUCAUUCAGAUUGAAUCCAACAUUUGUGUAUGCACACACUUUAUGUAUUAUACAGUAAUUAUCCCGUGCCAUCCAAUAAUAUUGGCACCCUAGGAAAAUAUUUACAAAACCGGAUGUGAAAAACAUUUAUUUGCUGUUUG